GCAUGCGGUGUUGAGUCAAUGUGUUUUGUCCUGCAGCCCCACUGAUAUGCAGUCCCGUCGUCAUCGACUUUCGGAAUCGUCGGCAAUAAUAAAAACUGCAGCUUUUCGAACAGAUGGGAAACGUCGACUGAAGACUAUAAAAACAGUUACCCUUCUGGGCUUUGGUGUGACAACCGAAAUUCGUCGCGUGCUUGCGUCCUCUGCGGUGUUCCAGCGACAGAGAUGAGAACUUAUUGCAGAGCAUCAGAGGGUUACCGAUCAUGAUAUGAUGUCGGUUGCAAUCACCUUCCGAGUAACACAGUCGUCGUAAUGUUCGCGGUUUUGCGUCUCCUCACGGGGAUGACCGAGCUGAUCGACCUAUGGGGGGCAAUGUCAGUAGGCCUCUUCGUGGCGUCCCAUGGAAAUGCUCGGGAGCAAUCGAGUAGCUAAUAACUUACAACACAGGUACGUCAUCAAUAUACUAAACAGUAAACACAAGUAUAAGUUUCAAGUAUUUACGUCACAGUCUAUUGCAUUAUCUUUUAUACCAUACAAUUCAAUCGAAUGAGGAACUAAUAAUAAGUAUAUAUUAUGAAAUUCCUCUCAAAAAGCACAAUUAUAGAUCUUUGUAUGUAUGUGACAUGUUUACAAGUGUAUGACACUACUUGUUUAAAGCCAUGUAAGAUGGUCCCGGCCGUCUAUGAAGUGAUAUGAAAAUACGUCAUGUCUAUUUUAGCGAGAAGAAAAAUGCUAGAGAAUGUAAAUUCGAAAAUUUU
This is a long non-coding RNA of Neodiprion fabricii, 755 nucleotides long. RefSeq lists it as uncharacterized. The record is from RefSeq and is a predicted model, not a curated record. The transcript is spliced from 2 exons. NCBI's taxonomy places the organism in Eukaryota, Metazoa, Arthropoda, Insecta, Hymenoptera, Diprionidae.